Molecule: non-coding RNA, 54 nt
Organism: Salmo salar (Atlantic salmon)
Lineage: Eukaryota; Metazoa; Chordata; Actinopteri; Salmoniformes; Salmonidae
Source: Rfam
ACUUUUACAAUCUGUAAGUCGCUCUGGAUAAGAGUAUCUGCUAAAUGACAUCAA